CCUACGGGAGGCAGCAGUGGGGAAUAUUGCACAAUGGGGGAAACCCUGAUGCAGCGACGCCGCGUGAGUGAAGAAGUAUUUCGGUAUGUAAAGCUCUAUCAGCAGGGAAGAAAAUGACGGUACCUGAGUAAGAAGCACCGGCUAACGACGUGCCAGCCGCCGCGGUAAUACGUAGGGGGCAAGCGUUAUCCGGGUUUACUGGGUGUAAAGGGAGCGUAGACGGCAGCGCAAGUCUGAAGUGAAAUGCCGGGGCUUAACCCCGGAACUGCUUUGGAAACUGUGCAGCUAGAGUGCAGGAGCGGUAAGUGGAAUUCCUAGUGUAGCGGUGAAAUGCGUAGAUAUUAGGAGGAACACCAGUGGCGAAGGCGGCUUACUGGACUGUAACUGACGUUGCGGCUCGAAAGCGUGGGGAGCAAACAGGAUUAGAUACCCGGGUAGUC
RNAcentral lists this ribosomal RNA (440 nucleotides) under uncultured bacterium. Its description in RNAcentral is "partial 16S ribosomal RNA". It matches the Rfam family "Bacterial small subunit ribosomal RNA", at positions 338 to 795 of the family's 1533-position model. The record is from RNAcentral.